UGGUGUAAUCAAAUGGGCGAAAGGAAUAGAGUCCUCGUCUUUUCAUCUCAUGACAACAUUCUCCAAGCUACCACUCCUUUACUACUCCAGAUGACCGUCGCACCAACAUGUCUUCUCCUAUCGAUGAUCACUUCACCACCAUCUCCCCUUGUCCCAACGACCACCGGAGCACCACCUUCUCCCUCUUUUUGACCAAACAGAAACCACCAACACUUUCUCCCUAAUAGAACGGCUUACAUUUUUUGAAUUUCAGGCCAGGAAGUCAGGAUGUAUGAUAAAUUAUUGGAAUAUAAUCGAAUAUGUAGCUAGAAAAGGAUCUUAUGUGACACAUUCAAAUCAGAUGUAUGGUAGAUCGGAUCAAAGAUAGGGAUCAAACGAUGAACGGAGUCAAACCUAGCAGUGCUACGAAGAAAGCCGAUACCAAGUGGUGAGGCUUGGUUUUCUUUUCACUGUCAAGGAAUAUGCGUAGGAAUUUUGAAGGUGGUAGGUGUAUCACCUAAUAUAUGAGAAUGGAAAAUGCACCAACUGUCGGUAACAUGCUCUCAUAUAGAACAUUAGGUUUGUGUGGGAAUGCAAUCAAGAAUGGGCCCGAAUGCAAUCAAGAAUGGCUGCUGGAAUGGAAUAUGGGUUUAGUAUCUUGACAUCUAGUCCGGUUGUAUGAGUGAUCUAGUACGGUUGUAUGUUGAAAUUGUAUGGUGUAUUAGAUGGUUGUCUGCUUGAAAGGAUCCAUAUAGAGUACCGUUAAAUAGCCGUAUUCUAUUAGGCAAUGUAAUCUAAUACACCACACUACUAAUACGUUCCAACCUUUAUACUAUAUUUAUAGAUUUAGUGAUAUUAGAUUACACUUUUUCUAGUAGUGGAAGUUCAUGUAUUACAGAAGAGUGAAGUUUUCAAUAAGGCCUUUUAAUUACAUAAAAUGGUGUAGAUAUUGAAGUAGGUUGUCGGUUAUUAAAUACAUUUAGUAUGUACUUCAUAGUUUGUGCUAAUAUGCUCAAUAAUGUGUAUGUUAGUAAGACAAAUUUAUUUAGACAUUCAUGUAUGUAUCCCUACCUGUGAAUAUAUGAUUGGUUUAGUAUACACAUUUAAUUUUUGUAUGUAUAUAUAGAAGGUUAUAUUUUUUAAGAUCAGGUUACACUUGAUAC
Molecule: non-coding RNA, 1142 nt
Organism: Lactuca sativa (garden lettuce)
Lineage: Eukaryota; Viridiplantae; Streptophyta; Magnoliopsida; Asterales; Asteraceae
Source: RefSeq, a predicted model, not a curated record